Molecule: ribosomal RNA, 468 nt
Filed under: uncultured bacterium
Lineage: Bacteria
Description: partial 16S ribosomal RNA
Rfam family: Bacterial small subunit ribosomal RNA
Source: RNAcentral
GACGAACGCUGGCGGCGUGCUUAACACAUGCAAGUCGAACGGAAAGGCCCUGCUUUUGUUGGGUGCUCGAGUGGCGAACGGGUGAGUAACACGUGAGUAACCUGCCCUUGACUUUGGGAUAACUUCAGGAAACUGGGGCUAAUACCGGAUAUGAGCUCCUGCUGCAUGGUGGGGGUUGGAAAGUUUCGGCGGUUGGGGCUGGACUCGCGGCUUAUCAGCUUGUUGGUGGGGUAGCGGCUUACCAAGGCUUUGACGGGUAGCCGGCCUGAGAGGGUUACCGGCCACAUUGGGACUGAGAGACGGCCCAGACUCCUACGGGAGGCAGCAGUGGGGAAUAUUGCACAAUGGGCGGAAGCCUGAUGCAGCAACGCCGCGUGCGGGAUGACGGCCUUCGGGUUGUAAACCGCUUUCGCCUGUGACGAAGCGUGAGUGACGGUAAUGGGUAAAGAAGCACCGGCUAACUACGUG